RNAcentral lists this long non-coding RNA (635 nucleotides) under Prunus dulcis (almond). Its description in RNAcentral is "sRNA ncRNA". The record is from RNAcentral. Lineage: Eukaryota; Viridiplantae; Streptophyta; Magnoliopsida; Rosales; Rosaceae.
AUAUAAACAAGUUCGGGAAAAUGUGAUCCAGAGGCUGAUGUUCCCAUAAUGUUUAUGCCGAGUCUGGAGGUUUAUAACUUUAUUUCCUAACCGUUAUCAAUCCCAACUCUAAAUCUCCCAUAUCAUAACGACUUUUACUUUACACAGGUCCUCAAAAUGUCAAUUUCCCUCAUUCUUCACUUGAAAUGAGAAUUUUCAUUAUUAAAACAAGGUAUUAGCCAUAAUGUUAUCCCUACGAUUGGCUGGUACCUGCUAUUUGCUUCUUUUAUAAAACCUAUAUGUAUGAUAUAAUAAACCACACUCAGUGUAUUUGGUCCUUCACAAUGACACUAAAGACAACAAAAGGUUUUCUGAGUUUUAGACACCAAUUGAUGUGGCAGAGGACAUAGCAUUAGGACCAAAUGUAAGCACUCAUUACAAGCUUGUGUACACCAACAGAGCACCUAACACACUACUAUUAAUUGCUUCUCCAUACGAUCCUUCCUCGCCCUCAAUUCAAUUGGAAAUAUACAAUAAUGCAAAAACCUAAAGCUUCUUUCUUUCUUUCCUUUUCUGGCUGCAAAAGUGAAAAAUAACAAGAAAAUUCCCUAAUAAUAGAUGUUGAUGAAAUGCAGAAAGGCAAACAACGGUACAGC